GACGAACGCUGGCGGCGUGCUUAACACAUGCAAGUCGAACGGAAAGGCCCUGCUUUUGUGGGGUGCUCGAGUGGCGAACGGGUGAGUAACACGUGAGUAACCUGCCCUUGACUUUGUGAUAACUUCAGGAAACUGGGGCUAAUACCGGAUAGGAGCUCCUGCUGCAUGUUGGGGGUUGGAAAGUUUCGGCGGUUGGGGAUGGACUCGCGGCUUAUCAGCUUGUUGGUGUGGUAGUGGCUUACCAAGGCUUUGACGGGUAGCCGGCCUGAGAGGGUGACCGGCCACAUUGGGACUGAGAUACGGCCCAGACUCCUACGGGAGGCAGCAGUGGGGAAUAUUGCACAAUGGGCGGAAGCCUGAUGCAGCAACGCCGCGUGCGGGAUGACGUCCUUCGGGUUGUAAACCGCUUUCGCAUGUGACGAAGCGUGAGUGACGGUAAUGGGUAAAGAAGCACCGGCUAACUACGUG
RNAcentral lists this ribosomal RNA (468 nucleotides) under uncultured bacterium. Its description in RNAcentral is "partial 16S ribosomal RNA". It matches the Rfam family "Bacterial small subunit ribosomal RNA", at positions 28 to 507 of the family's 1533-position model. The record is from RNAcentral.